RNAcentral lists this ribosomal RNA (400 nucleotides) under uncultured bacterium. RNAcentral describes it as "bacterial SSU rRNA". It matches the Rfam family "Bacterial small subunit ribosomal RNA", at positions 355 to 753 of the family's 1533-position model. The record is from RNAcentral.
UAGGGAAUAUUGGUCAAUGGGGGCAACCCUGAACCAGCCAUGCCGCGUGCAGGAAGAAGGCCUUCUGGGUUGUAAACUGCUUUUGACAGGGAACAAAUGCCAUUUGCGAAUGGAGCUGAGUGUACCUGUAGAAUAAGCCACGGCUAACUACGUGCCAGCAGCCGCGGUAAUACGUAGGUGGCAAGCGUUGUCCGGAUUUAUUGGGUUUAAAGGGUGCGUAGGCGGCCGAUUAAGUCAGUGGUGAAAUCCUUCAGCUUAACUGAAGACGUGCCAUUGAUACUGGUUGGCUUGAAUAUAGUUGAGGUGGGCGGAAUUGACGGUGUAGCGGUGAAAUGCAUAGAUAUCGUCAAGAACACCUAUUGCGAAGGCAGCUCACUAAGCUAUAAUUGACGCUGAGGCA